RNAcentral lists this small nuclear RNA (114 nucleotides) under Buteo japonicus. RNAcentral describes it as "U1 spliceosomal RNA (ENSBJAG00000007330.1)". It matches the Rfam family "U1 spliceosomal RNA", at positions 1 to 94 of the family's 166-position model. Rfam says of the family: U1 is a small nuclear RNA (snRNA) component of the spliceosome (involved in pre-mRNA splicing). Its 5' end forms complementary base pairs with the 5' splice junction, thus defining the 5' donor site of an intron. Lineage: Eukaryota; Metazoa; Chordata; Aves; Accipitriformes; Accipitridae. The record is from RNAcentral.
AUACUUACCUGGUAGGGGAGACACCAUGGUCAGGCAGGUGGUUUUCCCAGGGCGAGGCUCAUACUCUGCACUAUUUUUUUUUUUUUUUAAGGCCAGGCAGCAGAUCCUCCUGGA